CCCUACACCCUCGCCCCUACACCCUCGCCCCUACACCCUAGACCAUUUCACCAGGUCAAAUUCCUCAUACAUGUAAAUCAGGGUUUCUCGAAAGACGGAACAAUCAAAAAACCUUUUAGCCCAAAUAUUUUUUUUCUUCAUAAUAACAACAUUUUAAAUAUAUAUUUUAAUAAUAAACCAAAGUAUUAGCUAUCACACCUUUGUAAAGGAACAACCUCCUAAUGAUGACCUUUUUUUCAUAGUAAAACUCCUUCAGACAUGAAAGGCCUUAUGUUUUUACUGUCCGACGAGUGUUUAAUGGCCUUGUUUCCUUCUAACAUUGUAGCUUGUUUAAUGGCUUUGUUUCCUUCUAACAUUGUAGCUUGUUUAACAUUGUAGCUUGUUUAAUACAGAUCUCAAUGUCUUUUUUUGUGUUUGGUUUUAUACCAUUGUAUAAUUCUCCAGGGUUCAUUUCAUUAGCAUUUUUUGGAAUGUUUUUCUAGAUUAAGAAAAUUAAACAAGAUUUGUAAAGUUAGGUUUAUCCUGAUUUUCACAGCACAGCAAACAGUUCAAUAGUUUAAGCAUAUUUUGCAGGACUAUUAUUAACAUAUUGUUUCAGAAUAUAAAAUAUAAUAUAUAUAUAUGCAUAUACAUAUACUGUAUAUAUACUGUAUAUGUCUUAAGUGGGAUAGCAAUAAGUGACAGAGUUGACAAGGAACUGACGGAGGUGACGGAGGUGACGGAACUGAUGGAGGUGACGGAAGUGACGGAACUGACGGAACUGACGGAACUGACGGAGGUGACGGAAAUGACGGAGGUGACGGAAAUGACGGAGGUGACGGAACUGAUGGAGAUGACGGAAGUGACGGAACUGACGGAGGUGACGGAGGUGACGGAACUGACGGAGGUGACGGAACUGACGGAGGUGACGGAACUCACGGAGGUGACGGAACUGACGGAGGUGACGGAACUGACGGAACUGACGGAGGUGACGGAACUGACGGAGAUGACGGAACUGACGGAGAUGACGGAGGUGACGGAACUGACGGAACUGACGGAGGUGACGGAACUGACGGAGGUGACGGAACUGACGGAGGUGACGGAAGUGACAGAACUGACGGAACUGACGGAGGUGACGGAACUGACGGAACUGACGGAGGUGACGGAACUGACGGAAGUGACGGAACUGACGGAGGUGACGGAAAUGACGGAGGUGACGGAACUGAUGGAGGUGACGGAAGUGACGGAACUGACGGAGGUGACGGAGGUGACGGAACUGACGGAGGUGACGGAACUGACGGAGGUGACGGAACUGACGGAGGUGACAGGUGACGGAACUGACGGAACUGACGGAACUGACGGAGGUGACGGAGGUGACGGAACUGACAGAGGUGACGGAGGUGACAACUCAAAACAGACAUUUAUUUGUCGAUUAAAACAACAAAAAAGUUCAAUACAAAAAUGUGUAAAAUUAUUUUGUUUGAAAAAUCCCUCAAUAACAUGAUCAGAUCAAUAACAUGAUCAGAUCUUUCAGAUUUUCUGACAGAGUUGAUGUUGUACUAAUUGCAUAUUUUUUACUAAUUUAGUCAAGUGGUAUACUACGUAGCAAUUUUGUUUUUUGCUCAAUUGCUUUUUUUGGCUCUAAAACCUAAUUAAAUUUAACAUAUUCUACAUUAAUUUUAUACCUUUAUUUAACUAGGCAAGUCAGUUAAGAACAAAUUCUUAUUUUCAAUGACGGCCUAAGAACUGCAGUUUCAGGG
Molecule: long non-coding RNA, 1739 nt
Organism: Oncorhynchus tshawytscha (Chinook salmon)
Lineage: Eukaryota; Metazoa; Chordata; Actinopteri; Salmoniformes; Salmonidae
Source: Ensembl